Molecule: non-coding RNA, 350 nt
Organism: Cinara cedri
Lineage: Eukaryota; Metazoa; Arthropoda; Insecta; Hemiptera; Aphididae
Source: the annotation of a GenBank genome assembly
ACAAAAAUAUAACUAUCGUAUUCAAAGUCCAAAAUUCUAUUAUAGUGUACGAAGAGAUUUACGAUUUAUUUUUUUCGCUCAGAAUUUUGUUUUAAAUCCUAAACCCUAACAUAAAUUCCGAAUUAUUCUGGUCGGUUACAAUCAGGUUACCGAGAAAACGCCAUCUAUCGGCGUUAUCAAACUUUGACAAAACUUGAAGUUCCAUUUAACUACAGGCACAAUGAAUUUCUCUGUUAAAGUUUGACUAUAGCGAAUUCACUCACCGAAACGGUCCCUGUAGAUAUUUGGUCAUUCGAACAUUGUUUUUAAUUGUUUUAUUUCAACAAUAUUAUUUGAAAAUUAUACAUUUG